RNAcentral lists this ribosomal RNA (528 nucleotides) under uncultured bacterium. RNAcentral's name for it is "bacterial SSU rRNA". It matches the Rfam family "Bacterial small subunit ribosomal RNA", at positions 982 to 1509 of the family's 1533-position model. The record is from RNAcentral.
GUACAUCCAGAGAAUUUAGCAGAGAUGCUUUAGUGCCUUCGGGAACUCUGAGACAGGUGCUGCAUGGCUGUCGUCAGCUCGUGUUGUGAAAUGUUGGGUUAAGUCCCGCAACGAGCGCAACCCUUAUCCUUUGUUGCCAGCACGUAAUGGUGGGAACUCAAAGGAGACUGCCGGUGAUAAACCGGAGGAAGGUGGGGAUGACGUCAAGUCAUCAUGGCCCUUACGAGUAGGGCUACACACGUGCUACAAUGGCGCAUACAAAGAGAAGCGACCUCGCGAGAGCAAGCGGACCUCAUAAAGUGCGUCGUAGUCCGGAUUGGAGUCUGCAACUCGACUCCAUGAAGUCGGAAUCGCUAGUAAUCGUAAAUCAGAAUGUUACGGUGAAUACGUUCCCGGGCCUUGUACACACCGCCCGUCACACCAUGGGAGUGGGUUGCAAAAGAAGUAGAUAGCUUAACCUUCGGGAGGGCGUUUACCACUUUGUGAUUCAUGACUGGGGUGAAGUCGUAACAAGGUAGGCGUAGUGCU